RNAcentral lists this ribosomal RNA (460 nucleotides) under uncultured Prevotella sp. RNAcentral describes it as "bacterial SSU rRNA". It matches the Rfam family "Bacterial small subunit ribosomal RNA", at positions 338 to 795 of the family's 1533-position model. The record is from RNAcentral. Lineage: Bacteria; Pseudomonadati; Bacteroidota; Bacteroidia; Bacteroidales; Prevotellaceae.
CCUACGGGAGGCAGCAGUGAGGAAUAUUGGUCAAUGGACGUAAGUCUGAACCAGCCAAGUAGCGUGCAGGAUGACUGCCCUAUGGGUUGUAAACUGCUUUUAUGCGGGGAUAAAGUCAGCCACGUGUGGUUGUUUGCAGGUACCGCAUGAAUAAGGACCGGCUAAUUCCGUGCCAGCAGCCGCGGUAAUACGGAAGGUCCAGGCGUUAUCCGGAUUUAUUGGGUUUAAAGGGAGCGUAGGCUGUUGGUUAAGCGUGUUGUGAAAUGUAGAUGCUCAACAUCUGAAUUGCAGCGCGAACUGUCCGACUUGAGUGCGCGGAAAGCAGGCGGAAUUCGUUGUGUAGCGGUGAAAUGCUUAGAUAUGACGAAGAACUCCGAUUGCGAAGGCAGCUUGCUGUAGCGUAACUGACGCUGAAGCUCGAAAGUGCGGGUAUCGAACAGGAUUAGAUACCCUUGUAGUC